AUACGGAGGGUGCAAGCGUUACUCGGAAUCACUGGGCGUAAAGCGCGCGCAGGCGGGCUGAUAAGUUGGAUGUGAAAGCCUACGGCUCAACCGUAGAACUGCAUCCAAAACUGUCAGUCUAGAGUGUGGGAGAGGAAGAUGGAAUUAGUUGUGUAGGGGUAAAAUCCGUAGAGAUAGCUAGGAAUACCAAAAGCGAAGGCAAUCUUCUGGAACACUACUGACGCUGAGGCGCGAAGGCGUGGGGAGCAAACAGGAUUAGAUACCCGGGUAGUCC
Molecule: ribosomal RNA, 274 nt
Filed under: uncultured bacterium
Lineage: Bacteria
Description: partial 16S ribosomal RNA
Rfam family: Bacterial small subunit ribosomal RNA
Source: RNAcentral